GGCGGCAUGCCUAACACAUGCAAGUCGAACGAACUCUUCGGAGUUAGUGGCGCACGGGUGCGUAACGCGUGGGAAUCUGCCCUUGGGUACGGAAUAACUCAGAGAAAUUUGUGCUAAUACCGUAUAAUGUCUUCGGACCAAAGAUUUAUCGCCCAAGGAUGAGCCCGCGUAAGAUUAGCUAGUUGGUGAGGUAAAAGCUCACCAAGGCGACGAUCUUUAGCUGGUCUGAGAGGAUGAUCAGCCACACUGGGACUGAGACACGGCCCAGACUCCUACGGGAGGCAGCAGUGGGGAAUAUUGGACAAUGGGCGAAAGCCUGAUCCAGCAAUGCCGCGUGAGUGAUGAAGGCCUUAGGGUUGUAAAGCUCUUUUACCCGGGAUGAUAAUGACAGUACCGGGAGAAUAAGCUCCG
This 411-nucleotide ribosomal RNA is filed under the name alpha proteobacterium BAL181. RNAcentral describes it as "bacterial SSU rRNA". It matches the Rfam family "Bacterial small subunit ribosomal RNA", at positions 38 to 495 of the family's 1533-position model. Lineage: Bacteria; Pseudomonadati; Pseudomonadota; Alphaproteobacteria. The record is from RNAcentral.